RNAcentral lists this non-coding RNA (138 nucleotides) under unclassified sequences. Its description in RNAcentral is "c-di-GMP sequence". It matches the Rfam family "c-di-GMP-II-GAG riboswitch aptamer". The record is from Rfam by way of RNAcentral.
GUGACACACGGACGCAACGAUCCUCGGGCACCACACAGCUACACGGUCGCCCGUCGGGUCGACAGGGGCAUCUACAAGGGGCUUCCUGACGGCUCGAUGGCUCGAGGGGAGCGAGUGGCGAGACCGGCCGUGAGACGA